This 6712-nucleotide long non-coding RNA is filed under the name Homo sapiens (human). RNAcentral's name for it is "non-protein coding lnc-TBC1D8-7:3". The record is from RNAcentral. Lineage: Eukaryota; Metazoa; Chordata; Mammalia; Primates; Hominidae.
GGGGCCAGCUAGCAGGCGUCGUGGCGGGGCCGCGCUUUUGGGCCGCGAGCUUGAGGUCCCGCUUCUCGACGGAUUCCUUCUGGCUCCGCGAAGGAACUUGCGUCCCUUCUCUAAGUCUUCGGAUAAAACCAAGACCUAGGCCUACAGAUGUAUGGGAGCAGGGCCAGGGAGAGAGAGACUUCGUUUUUCCCAUUCAUUCAUGCAUCCGACCAACACUGACUGAGCCUGCGUCGGGCGCGGUGCCUGGCUGGCGGUCCCAGGGUCACUAAGACGCAACCCGGCGCUGGAGGUGCUUGCGUCGAGCAGGGCCGGCACAGGAUUGCCAGUCGUGGCUGUCCUGUGCGGUGGAGCCACAGGGCUGUCGCGUCGUCCCUGUGCGUGGGUGGCCCAGUGUGUUGGAUAUGACCUGAGAGAUGACAGAUGUGAGAUGACACGACAGGGAGAUCUGAGGAGGUCCCCAGAGAACUGGGAACUGCGUGUCACCAGUCUAGAGAUUCGGAGACAGUUGGAUCUAUGGACCCAUGUCUUCCUUUUUCUUGUCGAACUCCCUUCUUUCACAGGAGCACACCAUUUUUAGUGGUUUCUUAAGAUGAGUACACUAGCUAAAAAGUUUAUGAGCCCUCAAAUACCUGAGUAUUUAUUCAACCCUCAAAUUUAAAUUCUGGCUUGUAUGGAAUUCUAGAUUGAAAAGAAUUUCUCCCCAGCAUUUUGAAGGCAGGCUUCAUUGUCUUCAGUUUUUCAGUGUGGUGAGAAGUGAUGCGUCAUUUUUUUCUCUCUGAAAGAUUUUAGGAUCUUCUCUUUAAAGUUCAGAAAUUUCAUGACGAUGGUACCUUGAAUUUAAGGAAAUUUCCCAGAACGAAGGAGCUUGAUGUUCCAAGUUGAAAGGGCCCACUUAAUGCCUGGCACUUUGGUGAAUGGGAAAAUGCCCGGACCAAGUCACCCCUAACCUACUAACAGGGUUUUCAGCAAUGGACAUGUUUCAAGACCUCACAGACGAGACUGGAGGCAGGCAAUUUCAGGGCUGGAACAGGGACUCUGAUCUCAUGAGGAAUCUUUGCAUCCUGUAUCAGGAUCUCUGACCCAGUCCUUCUCCAAUACAAAGGAAAGACGAUCAAGAGCGUGAAGGCCAGCUAGCGCAGAUGGGCGGGCCGCAGGUGGCUAGAGCAACCGGUGUACUCUCGGGGGAUGCAGCGAGAUGCGCCAUCUCUGACGGCAAACCGACCGACGAUGCCUACACGGGGCACCUGGUUCCUGUCCAGUAUGGCUAUAGAGUGUGCCCAAGAACCUCGGAGGCAAGAGAAACACGGUCAGUAUUCCUGAUCAUUUCCACUGCAGCAAGCGCUGCACUCCAGAGAUGGUUACCAUCCAGGAGUUCUGAAACGUAUGCAGUGUGCACAAAAGCCAGGGGUUUAGUUCAGACUCCUCUCCCCAUCUCCUGUGGCCACCCCCCUCAUCCAUUGGUUAAAGCUGAUUGUGUCCCGACUUCAGUGCCGGGGCAUUAUCGGGGCGGCUGCUGGAGGCCUGACGACUCAGACAGACUGCUGACCCUUCGGGGAGGACGUAGGGGCUGGGGCUGUGCUGGGGGUGGUUGGGGGUAGCCCAGGGUCCCUGGCUGUUGUGAGUAGGUGGAGAGAAGUAGCGAGUCCUGCUGCUCACUGUGCAAAGAGGUUGGUGCCUGUACCUAGAAAAAAAAGAACAAAGGGCUUCAGAGGUGGUUCUGAUGUCCGCUCCUCAACUGUCUUACAAGGCAGUGCGGGGCAUGCUGCAGGUUGAGUUAGACUACAGGGCUGUCUUUCUUGGGGGGUCAUGUGGGGAGAGGUGGCUCUGGCAAGACCUGGGGGUGUGGUGGGGAUGGGGACUAAGGGAACCUUAGGGUGAAUUCUGAAGCUAAGUUCUCCGCCAAUAGUGGGGGCACCUUCUGGCCCAAUCGACUGAGGCCUGUGGCUAUGGCUAUGGGGAAUGGUUUCGUAAACACGUGCACAUGAUCUACAUGUAGCCACAAUGUUUUUGGAUGAUGGAACCUGAGGCCACAUGCAGGUAGUUGACAGGGCAGAAUCCAAACACACAUACAGUUUGUACACUUUUCACUGCUGGUCCCUGAUCCCGUAGCUACCUCCAGAUUCACCAGCACCUACUAGGAGCAUCUUGAUUGGAAGUUUAGAAGCUUUGACUGACCAAAGCCUGACUUUGGAAACUUCAGUCUUAUCACCCACUAUUCCCUUCCAUGAAAUCUCCUCCUGCAAGUAACCCAGCACCCCCCUGCUCUCAAAGCUGCCCAGGCACAGCUGCCCUGAACUUUUGCUCAGGCUGUCUGGCUGGAACACUGUCCCUUUAUCUUCACCCUCACCCACAUUUCGGGCAUUUCCUGGACAUCAGACUCUGCAGUGGGUGCCUUCUGAGCCCUCCCUCUCCUCAAGUCCCUUCCUCCACAAAGGCUUCCCCACCACAGCACUCCCACUGUUCCCAAAUCCGAGCCUGACUGCAUUCUGUGCUAACCCACCUCUCUGCACCCCACCCCAAGCCCCUAAGGGCAGUGAGUGGGCCGAAGCGCUCUCUGUAUUCAUAGCCUGCAUCUUGUCUGCAACAGGUGCAUGCAAACUUGUCUGUUGCUCAUUUCCCAUCCAAAAUCACUUCUGGGUCUCGAGAACUGACAAGAUCUGCAAAGCCAAAGUCUGAGUUGACUCCCACUAUGUGUGGGGUCAGGGAGAUCUGAAAAUUAUAGCACAGAUGGCUUAGCGGCACUGGAAUUAAAUUACGUUCUAGAACUUCAAGGACAGCUAUCUUCAUCACUAUCUACAGUACUCAAGAGGUCUCAGCUACUGCUCAUUCUCCAUGGCUUUGCAGGUGCAGGUGGGGCUGCAGGCCAGGGAGGAAGCCCCCCCAGGACAGGGAAGGGCUGGGGUGAAGAGGGGCACCCUGCACAUGGGUGAGGGAAGGCCAGGCCCUUCUGCAGCUUGGCAGACGCAGACGUGUGGCUCCCACGUGAACCUGCGGACCAGUGGCUCUCACCCUCCCUGCUUUUGACAUACUUGGCACUUGCUUGAAGUAAUUUUUGCCUUCGAAGUAGUGACCACAUGUAAAUGAGCUCCAAAUUUUCCUGGCAAGCCCAAUUUCACACAUCACUGUAUUUAUGAAGGCAGGUUAAUGGAUCUUUAACUAAAUGUGAUUUAACUUUAUGUUUAUAUAGGACUUUAUAAACACACUGAAAAGUCCAACAUAGUCAUCAAUGUUUUUCGACUUUUGCUCUAAAAACUGUGAACAUAUCAAGAUGCAAAUCCUUGAGUAGAAACUACUUUUUUAAAAAAGAACCUUUUUAGCACAUAACCACAUAAGGCAUAAUAGCCGACUCGUAAUUUCAUGUACUCUGUAGACAUAGACUUCAUAAACUUUAAGCAUGAAAAACAAUCAAAUAACAAUCUUUCUGGGGCUUACUUCUAUACUAGGGAUAGAACAACCUUGAAAGCAAGGGAAUAAAAUAUCUCUGAGACUUCGGGUGUGGAGCGUGGCCCGGCUCCCAGGCCUGCACGGGGGCCCCCUGGGCCGUGGCACCCACCUGCAGGUAGUGCUGCGGUGGCUGCUGCCGGGCCUGUGCAGGCUGCAGGGGCGAUGGUUGGGAGGCAGGGAAGCUGGGGUGGAGCACCGCCUGCCCCAUCAGCAGGACGGGCAUCGGGGCGCUGCUGCUGUUGGCGGGGUGUGCGUCUGGAUUUUGAAACACGGUCUGGCUCUGGGCGUACCUGUUUCACGUGGGAAGGAGAAAACAGGUCCUUUAAGAAAGCAGUAUUGAUACGACACCAAAAGCACGAGCAACAAAGAAAAAACAAAUAAGUUGGACUUCAUAAGAAACUUUUGGCCAGGCGCGGUGGCUCAUGCCUGUAAUCCCAGCACUUUGGGAGGCCGAGGCAGGCGGAUCACAAGGUCAGGAGAUCGAGAUCAGCCUGGCCAAUAUGGUGAAACCCCCGUCUCUACUAAAAAUAUAAAUAAAAAUUAGCCAGGUGUCAUGUUGGGCACCUGUAGUCCCAGCUACUUGGGAGGCUGAGGCAGGAGAAUAGCUUGAACCCGGGAGGUGGAGACUGUAGUGAGCCGAGAUCACACCACUGCACUCCAGCCUGGGCGACAGAGUGAGACUCCGUCUCAAAGCAAAAAAAAAAAAGAAACUUUUGUCCAUCAAAAGACACUAUCAACACUAUCAACAGAGGGAAAAGGCAGCCCACAGAGUAGGGGAAGAUAUUUGCACAUCACAUAUCUAAUAAGAGACCGAUAACAGAAUAUAUAAAGAAUGCCUACAACUCCACAACAAGACACCCACACAACCCAAUCAAAAAAUGGGCAUUGGGGCUGACAUUUCUCCAAAGAGAACCUGGAAAUGGCCAACACACACAUGAAAACAUACUCAGCAUCAGUAGCCAUUCCAUUAGGGCAAAGCAGAUCAAAACCAAAAUGAGAUGUCCCUUCACACUCAUUACAAUGGUGAUUAUCAAAAAACCAGGAAGUAACUUCACAUGGCCGGGAGGAGAUCGAGAACGAGGGGGAGGGGCUACACACUUUUAAACAAACAGAUCUAGGGAGAACUCUAUCACAAGAAUAGCAAGGGGGAAGUCCCCACCCAUGAUCAAUCACCUCCCACCAGGCCACACCUCCAACACUAGGGAUUACAAUUCAACAAGAGAUUUUGGUGGGGACACAGAGCCGACAUUUAACACAGUGGCUGCAGCACUGGACAGUUCCCACCAACAGAGCACUGAAGUUCAAGUGAUUCUCCUGCCUCAGCCUCCUGAGUAGCUGGGAUUACAGGCACGUGCCACCACACCCGGCUAAUUUUUGUAUUUUUAGUAGAGAUGGGGGUUUCACCAUGUUGGCCAGACUGGUCUUGAACUUCUGACCUCAGGUGAUCCGCCCGCCUUGGCCUCCCAAAGUGUUGGGAUUACAGGCAUGAGCCACUGCGCCCAGCCUAUUUCCACUUAUUUGGAUCAUUUAGGAAGAACAGGUAAAAUCCAGAAGCAAAACCAGCCCACUUCCUCCCACCUAAUGAUAGACAUGAACGGAACUUUACAGAUGGCUCCCCACAACCUGCAGGUCCCUCCUUACCCUCCUGUGACCAAAGGGAGGGCCAGAAAGUCUCAGGGGCAGAGGCUGCCUAGAAAGUUAUCCUGAGGCAUAGGGAGACCCCAGACAGGGCCAACAAGGUGGACUUUGAAGAUUCAGGGAGCCCAAGGGGCCCGUGGCCUGGAGUUAGCUGGCCUCCAGCCCCACCAUCUGCACUGUGUGGCCUUCGAGAAUGUAAUCUAACCCCUUUAAAGCCCAGCCUCUUCACUGGUUUAAAAAACAAACAAACAAACAAAAAAAGACCGAGCAUGUGCCUACACCCUAGGGUUUUUAUCGGGAUAAAAUUAAAUAAUGAACAUACAGACCCUGACCCUCAGAAAGGCAGUAACCAUCUGCCGUUACUCUCUGUCCUGGCUGAAGGAGGGCACAGAAGAAGGACUUCUAGGGAGAGGGGCCUGGGGGUGCCUGCGAGGCUUCUACAUGAGGGCAUCCCAGGCCUGAUCGGCUAGCACUGUCCUGGUUAGUUCUGGACACAAAGUCAACCAGUGUUAACAUGAAGGAGAUGUCUGUGUGAUAGCUCUAUUUCUGCCUCAUUCCCAAGGGCUAGAAACUGUUUUCCAGCAGCUUUUAAACUAUUCCCCGUGUCUCCAGUAACCGUUGUCCCUAGUAAUUAAGUAGCUGAGUAAAGCUGCUUCUGGUCCUACCGGUGCUAGUGGAGAGGAGGCUGGGGAAGGCAGAGAGGGGGCUGCUUGUCUGGGAGAGACGGGCCCGAGCACGGUGCCAGAAGCACGGAGCACCAAGUGUGCCUGCGGCAUGUCAGCUGGAGCCUGGGGGAGGGUCCUUGGGAAGGGGGAUGUCUCCAGGGGUGAGGGCUUUAGAGGGCUUUACAGGUGUAAGGAAGUCGGAAGAUGAUGGCAAACGGUGGGGUGUGAAUUGUUUCAUUCAGUGCUGCUGUAAGCAUGGAGCGCUGAGUUUUUUCUGCUUAAUUGGGACACGGUAGAAGAAAAGCUGAGGGGCAGCGUCCCCUUCACAGCUGUGGGCACACUCAGACCUUGCCUUUAGCGCAAGGCUCAUGUGAGUGCUGCUGGCCCAGGCGGGUGAGUCUGGCCAGCCUGGAACCAUUCCACCAGCGCUUGCCUCCUGCCUCCCGCCAGGGUCCACGUACUUGACUUGCCGUCCCGUCCUGCUGACUUCCGAGGGCUGCCUUGCGUCACAGGACCCGGGCAUCAUGGGCUGGAUGGGCUGGCUCAGCAACAGCCUUUAAGCAGAGGUGGGGAAAUAGGAAACUGAUCAGCACCUGAACCACAGACCCACUGGUCGUGGCAGCACUUGCUCAGCCUGGCUGGACCCUUUAUGGUUGACUCUAAUCCCCACUCUCCUGGCUUCAUUCUCUGAGGAUGAUGGACGCAGCGGGUAACCUCCCCUGGACCUCAGGAUCCCAAGCCCUGUCCUCUGCUUCCUUAGCUGAGAUCAACUGUGGACACUUUAGAAUCUGUCUGAACUCUGCCUCCGUCUAAAGCAGAAAGUAGAGCUGAAAUGAAUGGGGUAAAAUGAUGCCUGGGUUAUCCUUUAAACAAGGGCAGUCUCGUACCUGAGCUGCCGAUCAUGGCUGAAGUCUGGGCUGGGCUGGCACUGGCUGGCAUCCUGGGAGGUGGAAGCAGGUGUGGUC